CUGAGGGGAGGUUGGCCCUCUCCUCCUGCCUCCUCCAGAAGGGAUUCCUCACUCUGUGGCACCAGCAGCACAGCUCCCCACUCACAGCAAGGAUGUAUACACAGCUGUAUCAUGCAGGGCGUUGCCCAGGUUGACCAAUGAGCUCUCUGCUUCCUGCCUACCCUGCUGUGGACUGUUCCUCCUCUGUGAUGCCGCUCUGCCAUACUGCCCUGCUCUGGAAGCAGCUGACUGUGGACUGAAACCUCUACAAACUGUGAGCCAAAAUAAACCUUUCCUCCUUUAACCUUCA
This is a long non-coding RNA of Cavia porcellus (domestic guinea pig), 289 nucleotides long. RefSeq lists it as uncharacterized. NCBI's taxonomy places the organism in Eukaryota, Metazoa, Chordata, Mammalia, Rodentia, Caviidae. The transcript has 2 exons. The record is from RefSeq and is a predicted model, not a curated record.